Lycium ferocissimum is the source of this 1807-nucleotide long non-coding RNA. RefSeq lists it as uncharacterized. Lineage: Eukaryota; Viridiplantae; Streptophyta; Magnoliopsida; Solanales; Solanaceae. The record is from RefSeq and is a predicted model, not a curated record. The transcript has 2 exons.
UUUACCUAUAUCUUUUCCUUUUGUUUUCUUCAAAAUUACUUAGUCAAAAUCGAUUAUUAUUGUCUGAUUUUUGUUGUGUUGUGUUCAUUUGCUUGAUUUCCAUUGGUUGGGGGGUGAAAGGUUUGGAUCGAGUCAAAAAAGGCUCAGAUCUGGCCGUUCAUUUGUUGAUAAGUCAUUUAAGCCAUAGAUCUGCUUUGUAAGUUCAUUUCCUGGGAAAGAUUGUUUGUCCCACAUCGAUGUUUGGAAGGUUGAAACAAUUUUUGGGGUUCUAUAAAUAGAACCCCAACCCUCUUACAAAAAUAGUUUUUGGGAGGUCGGAAAAUUUGGAAAAAAUUAAAAGGGGCUAGAAACUUUGAAUUCCAAGCCUCUUAAGUAUAAAAAUCUUAAGACUUCAACUUAGUUUGAGGUUUUCGGAGUUCUAAAAAUUUGUUUUUCUUUCUUGUUUUCGAGUCUGUGUGGCUGAAUGUGAUUUUGGAACCACAAAGGGCUUUCAAAUUCGAUUUUGACCAUGGCUGCACUUUUAAAAGUGCAUAUUGUGAUCCAGAGACUGCUACCUGACCUCAUAUCUAGCGUUGAGGCCGUUUGCUGACAGAUUUAGGAUGAGCUUCUAUCCAUGCUAGCCCGCCCGAAGAUCUUAUUUUCUGAUGUCUACUUUCAUUCCAGACAUUUUUGGUUAUUUAGUUACACAACAUACAUUCCUUAGACAUGUUUUGGAUUAAAGUCCUUGUACGGUGACUCUCGGAUUUUGGGGUUGUAAUAGUUAGGACUUCCACAUUUACUUCCUUAUUUUAUGGCAUGACUAAAUUUUGAUUUAUCUUGUGCUUGAAUGGUUAAUAACUGAUUGAAUUAGUUAACAUAAAAAUAGACUUGAAUGAGUAGAUGGCUUACAUUUUGGUUCACGCACUAGGAGUUAGUGUGGGUGUCGGUCAUGGCUGGUUGGGUCGUAAUCGAGGUAGUAUCAGGGCUUUAGGUUCAUCGAUCUCGUCGUAUAAGGACAUGUCUAGUAGAGUCUUGCGGAUCGGUAUGGAGACGUCUGUACUUAUCUUCGAGAGGCUACCAGCCACUAGGAAAAUUUCCUUUUCUUUCUUUCUUUCGUGAUACUUGAUUCUAAUUGGUAUCUGGAUGAUUUAAAUUGGUAUUUGACUAUCCUUCGUUCUCUCGCAGAUAGCGAAAACACGCACGACAGCAGGCAGAGGUAGAGGUAGAGGUGGAGGCGCAGGUAGAGGGGCGGCACCAGCUGGGGGCUGAGUCCUAGUAGUUGAUCCCGUGCCUCCAAUAACUCCUAAUGAGGCCGCGGGAGAUGCAGCCACACCAGCUCAGCCAGCGGCAGUGCCAGUUCUGCCAGGGGCUACAGCUGCUCCAGGUAUACCAGAUGCGAUGGCGCAGGUGCUGAAUUGGUUGCAUGGAUUGGCACAGACCGGGGCGAUACCGGCCGUUCCAGCAGGUAGGGGUGCAGGGAUAGCAGCCCCAGAUCCGGAUAGAGUUCAGCAUGCUUGAUAUGAUCCUAUAUGGCACAAAGGGAUAAAAGUGCAAAUUAUCUCUAUAUGAUGUAAAUCAAGACAAAUUGGGCAGCAAUUGCAAGACAAUUGGUGUUUGGAAGAUGAAUAUUUCCACAUGAAGGCUAUUUUCAAAAUUCCCAAAGAAGACUACCAACCAAACAACGCCCUUGCCUCAUUAAUGGAAUUUUUGUAAUAACUUAGUCUUCUUUUAGUCUAGGAGUAUAAAUACUAGACUUAGCUCAUUUCAUUAGUUUAGCUUUGAAAGAUGUUAAGAUCAAUCCUAUAAAUGAGUGAUAGUUUGUUUGGUA